Molecule: ribosomal RNA, 1472 nt
Filed under: uncultured rumen bacterium
Lineage: Bacteria
Description: bacterial SSU rRNA
Rfam family: Bacterial small subunit ribosomal RNA
Source: RNAcentral
AGAGUUUGAUCCUGGCUCAGGACGAACGCUGGCGGCGUGCCUAACACACGCAAGUCGAACGGAGUAAGAUUUUCGGAUUUUACUUAGUGGCGAACGGGUGAGUAACGCGUGAACAACCUGCCUUCUUGAGGGGGAUAACACCUGGAAACAAGUGCUAAUACCGCAUAAGACCACAGAGCCGCAUGGUUCAGGGGUCAAAGGAGUGAUCCGCAGGGAGAGGGGUUCGCGUCCCAUUAGCUAGUUGGCGGGACAACGGCCCACCAAGGCGACGAUGGGUAGCCGAGCUGAGAGGCUGAUCGGCCACACUGGAACUGAGACACGGUCCAGACUCCUACGGGAGGCAGCAGUGGGGAAUAUUGGGCAAUGGGCGCAAGCCUGACCCAGCAACGCCGCGUGAGGGAAGAAGGUCUUCGGAUUGUAAACCUCUGUCCUAUGUGACGAAGGAAGUGACGGUAGCAUAGGAGGAAGCCCCGGCUAACUACGUGCCAGCAGCCGCGGUAAUACGUAGGGGGCGAGCGUUGUCCGGAAUUACUGGGCGUAAAGGGUGCGUAGGUGGCACUUUAAGUUGGAUGUGAAAUCCCCGUGCUUAACAUGGGAGCUGCAUCCAAUACUGGAGAGCUAGAGUGCAGGAGAGGUAAGCGGAAUUCCCUGUGUAGCGGUGAAAUGCGCAGAGAUAGGGAGGAACACCGGUGGCGAAGGCGGCCUGCUGGGCUUUAACUGACGCUGAGGCACGAAAGCGUGGGUAGCAAACAGGAUUAGAUACCCUGGUAGUCCACGCCGUAAACGAUGAUUACUAGGUGUGGGGGGACUGACCCCCUCCGUGCCGCAGUUAACACAAUAAGUAAUCCACCUGGGGAGUACGGCCGCAAGGUUGAAACUCAAAGGAAUUGACGGGGGCCCGCACAAGCAGUGGAGUAUGUGGUUUAAUUCGAAGCAACGCGAAGAACCUUACCAGGUCUUGACAUCCCGAUGACCGCCCUAGAGAUAGGGUUUCUCUUCGGAGCAUUGGAGACAGGUGGUGCAUGGUUGUCGUCAGCUCGUGUCGUGAGAUGUUGGGUUAAGUCCCGCAACGAGCGCAACCCUUGCUAUUAGUUGCUACGCAAGAGCACUCUAAUAGGACUGCCGUUGACAAAACGGAGGAAGGUGGGGACGACGUCAAAUCAUCAUGCCCCUUAUGACCUGGGCUACACACGUACUACAAUGGUCGUCAACAGAGGGACGCAAAGCCGCGAGGCGGAGCAAAUCCCUAAAAACGAUCUCAGUUCAGAUUGUAGGCUGAAACUCGCCUAUAUGAAGAUGGAAUUGCUAGUAAUCGCAGAUCAGCAUGCUGCGGUGAAUACGUUCCCGGGCCUUGUACACACCGCCCGUCACACCAUGGGAGCCGGUAAUACCCGAAGUCAGUAGCCCAACCGCAAGGAGGACGCUGCCGAAGGUAGGAUUGGCGACUGGGGUGAAGUCGUAACAAGGUAACC